GGGGAUUUGGCUUAGUGGUAGAGCGCUUGCCUAGCAAGCACAAGGCUCUGGGUUCGGUCCCCAGCUCCG
RNAcentral lists this transfer RNA (69 nucleotides) under Rattus norvegicus (Norway rat). It matches the Rfam family "tRNA". Rfam says of the family: Transfer RNA (tRNA) molecules are approximately 80 nucleotides in length. Their secondary structure includes four short double-helical elements and three loops (D, anti-codon, and T loops). Further hydrogen bonds mediate the characteristic L-shaped molecular structure. tRNAs have two regions of fundamental functional importance: the anti-codon, which is responsible for specific mRNA codon recognition, and the 3' end, to which the tRNAs corresponding amino acid is attached (by aminoacyl-tRNA synthetases). tRNAs cope with the degeneracy of the genetic code in two manners: having more than one tRNA (with a specific anti-codon) for a particular amino acid; and 'wobble' base-pairing, i.e. permitting non-standard base-pairing at the 3rd anti-codon position. The record is from Rfam by way of RNAcentral. Lineage: Eukaryota; Metazoa; Chordata; Mammalia; Rodentia; Muridae.